This 106-nucleotide ribosomal RNA is filed under the name Acanthamoeba sp. isolate A1P1. RNAcentral describes it as "partial 18S ribosomal RNA". The record is from RNAcentral. Lineage: Eukaryota; Discosea; Longamoebia; Acanthamoebidae.
AGGAGACGUUGAAUACAAAACACCACCAUCGGCGCGGUCGUCCUUGGCGCGUUCGUGUUCACGCACGGGCGCGCGAGGGCGGCUUAGCCCGGUGGCACCGGUGAAU